Molecule: ribosomal RNA, 305 nt
Filed under: uncultured bacterium
Lineage: Bacteria
Description: bacterial SSU rRNA
Rfam family: Bacterial small subunit ribosomal RNA
Source: RNAcentral
AUAUCCUACGGGGGGCAGCAGUGGGGAAUAUUGCACAAUGGGGGAAACCCUGAUGCAGCGACGCCGCGUGAGGGAAGAAGUAUUUCGGUAUGUAAAGCUCUAUCAGCAGGGAAGAAGAAAGACGGUACCUGACUGAGAAGCCCCGGCUAACUACGUGCCAGCAGCCGCGGUAAUACGUAGGGGGCAAGCGUUAUCCGGAUUUACUGGGUGUAAAGGGAGCGUAGACGGCUGUGCAAGUCUGAAGUGAAAGCCAAGGGCUCAACCCGCGGACUGCUUUGGAAACUGUGGAGCUAGAGUGCUGGAGG